UUUUAAUGAGAGUUUGAUCCUGGCUCAGGACGAACGCUGGCGGCGUGCCUAAUACAUGCAAGUAGAACGCUGAUGUUUGGUGUUUACACUAGACUGAUGAGUUGCGAACGGGUGAGUAACGCGUAGGUAACCUGCCUCAUAGCGGGGGAUAACUAUUGGAAACGAUAGCUAAUACCGCAUAAGAGUGAUUAACACAUGUUAGUUAUUUAAAAGGAGCAAUUGCUUCACUGU
RNAcentral lists this ribosomal RNA (231 nucleotides) under Streptococcus agalactiae. RNAcentral's name for it is "partial 16S ribosomal RNA". It matches the Rfam family "Bacterial small subunit ribosomal RNA", at positions 1 to 221 of the family's 1533-position model. Lineage: Bacteria; Bacillati; Bacillota; Bacilli; Lactobacillales; Streptococcaceae. The record is from RNAcentral.